This 94-nucleotide transfer RNA is filed under the name Aureobasidium melanogenum CBS 110374. It matches the Rfam family "tRNA". From Rfam's summary of the family: Transfer RNA (tRNA) molecules are approximately 80 nucleotides in length. Their secondary structure includes four short double-helical elements and three loops (D, anti-codon, and T loops). Lineage: Eukaryota; Fungi; Ascomycota; Dothideomycetes; Dothideales; Saccotheciaceae. The record is from Rfam by way of RNAcentral.
GCCCUGCUGGCGCAAUGGUAGCGCGCAAGACUUCUAAUCAUCCCUUCGAUGAAUCGAUAUCUUGAGGCUGUGGGUUCGAGCCCCACGUGGGGCU